GGGGGGGGGGGGGGGGGGGGGGGGGGGGGGGGGGGGGGGGGGGGGGGGGGGGGGGUUGGGCCGGGGGCGUGGGCGGCGGGCGGGGGAGGAGCACGUGGGUGACCUGCCGAUAAGGCUGGGGUCACUGCGGGAAACCGGCGCUGCUACCGGGUAAUAUCUUGCGCCGCAUGGUUCCAUCGUGAACGACGGUUUUGCUGUCACUUAUAGCUGGCUCCGGGCCGCAUUCGCUAGUUGGUAAGGUCACGGCUUACCACGGCAACGAUGCGUCACCGCCCUGAGAGGGUGAGCGGCGACACUGGAACUGAGACGCGGUCCAGACUCCUACGGGAGGCAGCAGUAGGGAAUCUUCCGCAAUGGGCGAAAGCCUGACGGAGCAACGCCGCGUGAGUGAUGAAGGUCUUCGGAUCGUAAAACUCUGUUAUUAGGGAAGAACAAAUGUGUAAGUAACUAUGCACGUCUUGACGGUACCUAAUCAGAAAGCCACGGCUAACUACGUG
RNAcentral lists this ribosomal RNA (497 nucleotides) under uncultured bacterium. RNAcentral's name for it is "partial 16S ribosomal RNA". The stretch from base 60 to 497 matches the Rfam family "Bacterial small subunit ribosomal RNA", at positions 35 to 507 of the family's 1533-position model. The record is from RNAcentral.